Pygocentrus nattereri (red-bellied piranha) is the source of this 140-nucleotide small nucleolar RNA. Ensembl annotates it as Small nucleolar RNA SNORA29. Its record names the gene SNORA29. NCBI's taxonomy places the organism in Eukaryota, Metazoa, Chordata, Actinopteri, Characiformes, Serrasalmidae. The record is from Ensembl.
AUUCCUGUUUUAGUACCACCCAUCUGCCUCAUUUCAGGAUGUGUGGCUAUGCUAACAGGGUAGAUAAACUGUUUGUCAAAGUCUGAAGGGGUAGAUGGCCACACCCACUGCCUCUAUAUGUAUUGACAGCACAUUUGUAA